This 72-nucleotide transfer RNA is filed under the name Camelus ferus (Wild Bactrian camel). It matches the Rfam family "tRNA". Rfam says of the family: Transfer RNA (tRNA) molecules are approximately 80 nucleotides in length. The record is from Rfam by way of RNAcentral. Lineage: Eukaryota; Metazoa; Chordata; Mammalia; Artiodactyla; Camelidae.
GAGGUUAUAGCUCAGUGGUAGAGUGCGUGCUUAGCAUACAUGAGGUUCUGGGCUCAAUUCCUAGUAUCUCCA